Molecule: non-coding RNA, 120 nt
Organism: Pteropus alecto (black flying fox)
Lineage: Eukaryota; Metazoa; Chordata; Mammalia; Chiroptera; Pteropodidae
Source: Rfam
AUCUACAGCCAUGCUAACCCUGAACAAGCCCAAUCUUGUCCGAUCUCAGAAGCUAAGCAGGGUCGGGCCUGGUUAGUACUUGGAUGGGAGACCACCUAGGAAGACCAGGUGCUAUAGGCA